AUUGAACGCUGGCGGCAUGCCUUACACAUGCAAGUCGAACGGCAGCGCGGACUUCGGUCUGGCGGCGAGUGGCGAACGGGUGAGCAAUACAUCGGAACGUACCCUGUUGUGGGGGAUAACUAGACGACAGAUUAGCUAAUACCGCAUCCGACCUGAGGGUGAAAGUGGGGGACUGCAAUGCCUCACGCAGCAGGGGCGGCGGAUGUCUGAUUAGCUAGUUGGUGGGUUAAAGGCCCACCAAGGGGACGAGCAGUAGCUGGUCGGAGAGGACGAUCAGCCACACUGGGACUGAGACACGGCCCAGACUCCUACGGGAGGCAGCAGUGGGGAAUUUUGGCCAAUGGGGGCAACCCUGCUCCAGCAAUGCCGCGUGUGUGAAGAAGGCCUUCGGGUUGUAAAGCACCUUUGUCCGGAAAGAAAUCGCGCUGGUUAAUACCUGGCGUGGAUGACGGUACCGGAAGAAUAAGCACCGGCUAACUACGUGCCAGCCGCCGCUGUAA
Molecule: ribosomal RNA, 500 nt
Filed under: uncultured bacterium
Lineage: Bacteria
Description: partial 16S ribosomal RNA
Rfam family: Bacterial small subunit ribosomal RNA
Source: RNAcentral